RNAcentral lists this ribosomal RNA (497 nucleotides) under uncultured bacterium. Its description in RNAcentral is "partial 16S ribosomal RNA". It matches the Rfam family "Bacterial small subunit ribosomal RNA", at positions 28 to 507 of the family's 1533-position model. The record is from RNAcentral.
GAUGAACGCUGGCGGCGUGCCUAGUACAUGCAAGUCGAGCGAACGGACGAGAAGCUUGCUUCUCUGAUGUUAGCGGCGGACGGGUGAGUAACACGUGGAUAACCUACCUAUAAGACUGGGAUAACUUCGGGAAACCGGAACUAAUACCGGAUGAUAUUUUGAACCGCAUGGUUCAAAAGUGAAAGACGGUCUUGCUGUCACUUAUAGAUGGAUCCGCGCUGCAUUAGCUAGUUGGUAAGGUAACGGCUUACCAAGGCAACGAUGCAUAGCCGACCUGAGAGGGUGAUCGGCCACACUGGAACUGAGACACGGUCCAGACUCCUACGGGAGGCAGCAGUAGGGAAUCUUCCGCAAUGGGCGAAAGCCUGACGGAGCAACGCCGCGUGAGUGAUGAAGGUCUUCGGAUCGUAAAACUCUGUUAUUAGGGAAGAACAUAUGUGUAAGUAACUGUGCACAUCUUGACGGUACCUAAUCAGAAAGCCACGGCUAACUACGUG